RNAcentral lists this ribosomal RNA (796 nucleotides) under uncultured Archaeoglobi archaeon. RNAcentral's name for it is "bacterial SSU rRNA". It matches the Rfam family "Archaeal small subunit ribosomal RNA", at positions 82 to 879 of the family's 1478-position model. Lineage: Archaea; Methanobacteriati; Methanobacteriota; Archaeoglobi. The record is from RNAcentral.
ACGGCUGCUCAGUAACACGUGGACAACCUGCCCUCGGGUGGGGGAUAACCCCGGAAAACUGGGGCUAAUCCCCCAUAGGUGAUGGGUGCUGGAAUGCCCCAUCUCCGAAAGCGCUUAGCGCCCGAGGAUGGGUCUGCGGCGGAUUAGGUAGUUGGUGGGGUAACGGCCCACCAAGCCUAAGAUCCGUACGGGCUGUGGGAGCAGGAGCCCGGAGAUGGACCCUGAGACAAGGGUCCAGGCCCUACGGGGCGCAGCAGGCGCGAAACCUCCGCAAUGCGGGAAACCGCGACGGGGUUAGCCGGAGUGCCCGUGCAUUGCACGGGCUGUCGGGGUGCCUAAACAGCACCCCAUAGCAAGGGCCGGGCAAGGCCGGUGGCAGCCGCCGCGGUAAGACCGGCGGCCCGAGUGGCGGCCACUCUUAUUGGGCCUAAAGCGUCCGUAGCCGGCCCAGUAAGUCCCCCAGGAAAUCUGGUCGCUUAACGAUCAGACUUCCGGGGGAUACUGCUGGGCUAGGGACCGGGAGAGGCCGAGGGUAUUCCCGGGGUAGGGGUGAAAUCCUGUAAUCCCGGGAGGACCACCUGUGGCGAAGGCGCUCGGCUGGAACGGGUCCGACGGUGAGGGACGAAGGCCUGGGGAGCGAACCGGAUUAGAUACCCGGGUAGUCCAGGCUGUAAACGAUGCGGGCUAGGUGUCACCGGAGCUACGAGCUCCGGUGGUGCCGGAGGGAAGCCGUUAAGCCCGCCGCCUGGGAAGUACGGCCGCAAGGCUGAACUUAAAGGAAUUGGCGGGGGAGCAG